This 404-nucleotide ribosomal RNA is filed under the name Fusobacteriota bacterium. RNAcentral describes it as "Fusobacteria bacterium partial 16S ribosomal RNA". It matches the Rfam family "Bacterial small subunit ribosomal RNA", at positions 355 to 776 of the family's 1533-position model. Lineage: Bacteria; Fusobacteriati; Fusobacteriota. The record is from RNAcentral.
UGGGGAAUAUUGCACAAUGGAGGGAACUCUGAUGCAGCGACGCCGCGUGAGUGAUGAAGGAAUUCGUUUCGUAAAACUCUGUUCUAUGGGAAGAAAAGGACUGUACCAUAGGAGAAAGCUCCGGCUAAAUACGUGCCAGCAGCCGCGGUAAUACGUAUGGAGCGAGCGUUGUCCGGAAUUAUUGGGCGUAAAGGGUGCGCAGGCGGCUUUACAAGUUGGAUGUGAAAUAUUGUGGCUCAACCACAAACGUGCAUCCAAAACUGCAAAACUUGAGUUAAGGAGAGGUAAGUGGAAUUCCUGGUGUAGCGGUGGAAUGCGUAGAUAUCAGGAGGAAUACCGGUGGCGAAGGCGACUUACUGGACUUAAACUGACGCUCAGGCACGAAAGCGUGGGGAGCAAACAGG